Molecule: small RNA, 80 nt
Filed under: Flavobacterium sp. 316
Lineage: Bacteria; Pseudomonadati; Bacteroidota; Flavobacteriia; Flavobacteriales; Flavobacteriaceae
Description: Flavo-1 RNA
Rfam family: Flavo-1 RNA
Source: Rfam by way of RNAcentral
UAUUAGCCCUGAUGGAAACGAUAUCCUUUUUCUUGUUUCCUAAAAACAAGAAAAAGAUUUAGUGAACAGCAGGAACAAAA